This 67-nucleotide ribosomal RNA is filed under the name uncultured bacterium. RNAcentral describes it as "partial 16S ribosomal RNA". It matches the Rfam family "Bacterial small subunit ribosomal RNA", at positions 288 to 354 of the family's 1533-position model. The record is from RNAcentral.
GGUUCUGAGAGGAAGGUCCCCCACACUGGUACUGAGACACGGACCAGACUCCUACGGAAGGCAGCAG